UUAUACGACCGUACCGCAAACCGACACUGGUGCGCGAGAUGAGUAUUCUAAGGCGCUUGAGAGAACUCAGGAGAAGGAACUCGGCAAAUUGACACCGUAACUUCGGAAGAAGGUGUGCCCUAUUAGUGUGUAGUGAACUACGAAGCAUGAAUGGGUUGCAAAAAAUCGGUGGCUGCGACUGUUUAUUAAAAACACAGCACUCUGCAAACACGAAAGUGGACGUAUAGGGUGUGACGCCUGCCCGGUGCUGGAAGAUUAAAUGAUGGGGUGCAAGCUCUUGAUUGAAGUCCCAGUAAACGGCGGCCGUAACUAUAACGGUCCUAAGGUAGCGAAAUUCCUUGUCGGGUAAGUUCCGACCUGCACGAAUGGCGUAACGAUGGCCACACUGUCUCCUCCUGAGACUCAGCGAAGUUGAAAUGUUUGUGAUGAUGCAAUCUCCCCGCGGAAAGACGGAAAGACCCCAUGAACCUUUACUGUAGCUUUGUAUUGGACUUUGAACAGAUCUGUGUAGGAUAGGUGGGAGGCUUUGAAGCAGGGUCGCUAGAUCUUGUGGAGCCAACGUUGAAAUACCACCCUGGUGUGUUUGAGGUUCUAACCUAGGUCCAUUAUCUGGAUCGGGGACAGUGCAUGGUAGGCAGUUUGACUGGGGCGGUCUCCUCUCAAAGCGUAACGGAGGAGUUCGAAGGUACGCUAGUUACGGUCGGACAUCGUGACGAUAGUGCAAUGGCAUAAGCGUGCUUAACUGCGAGACUGACAAGUCGAGCAGAUGCGAAAGCAGGACAUAGUGAUCCGGUGGUACUGUAUGGAAGGGCCAUCGCUCAACGGAUAAAAGGUACUCUGGGGAUAACAGGCUGAUACCGCCCAAGAGUUCAUAUCGACGGCGGUGUUUGGCACCUCGAUGUCGGCUCAUCUCAUCCUGGGGCUGUAGCCGGUCCCAAGGGUAUGGCUGUUCGCCAUUUAAAGAGGUACGUGAGCUGGGUUUAAAACGUCGUGAGACAGUUUGGUCCCUAUCUUCCGUGGGCGCUGCAGAUUUGAGGAAGCCUGCUCCUAGUACGAGAGGACCGGAGUGGACACACCUCUGGUGUAUCGGUUGUCACGCCAGUGGCAUUGCCGAGUAGCUAAGUGUGGAAGAGAUAACCGCUGAAAGCAUCUAAGCGGGAAACUCGUUUCAAGAUGAGAUCUGCCGGGGCCUUGAGCCCCCUAAAGAGUCGUUCAAGACCAGGACGUUGAUAGGUCAGGUGUGGAAGUG
RNAcentral lists this ribosomal RNA (1249 nucleotides) under metagenome. RNAcentral's name for it is "bacterial LSU rRNA". It matches the Rfam family "Bacterial large subunit ribosomal RNA", at positions 1634 to 2875 of the family's 2925-position model. The record is from RNAcentral.